This 67-nucleotide transfer RNA is filed under the name Marmota monax (woodchuck). RNAcentral describes it as "tRNA.Ala". It matches the Rfam family "tRNA", at positions 6 to 65 of the family's 71-position model. From Rfam's summary of the family: Transfer RNA (tRNA) molecules are approximately 80 nucleotides in length. Their secondary structure includes four short double-helical elements and three loops (D, anti-codon, and T loops). Lineage: Eukaryota; Metazoa; Chordata; Mammalia; Rodentia; Sciuridae. The record is from RNAcentral.
GUUGUGGCUCAGUGGUAGAGUCCUCACUUAGCAAGUGCGAGGCCCUGGGUUCGAUUCUCAGCACACA